This is a non-coding RNA of Macaca mulatta (Rhesus monkey), 1182 nucleotides long. Lineage: Eukaryota; Metazoa; Chordata; Mammalia; Primates; Cercopithecidae. The record is from RefSeq and is a predicted model, not a curated record.
AGCAUGUGCUAGCAGUUGCUUUUUAGAGCACCCACUUCACUUCUCCCAUGUAGUACCUGAGUGCAGGACUCUCCUGAAGAAGGGGCUUCUAAAUGGCCAGCCCAUGCAUCUUGUUCAGACCAGGCUGCUCCAUCCCUGCUAAGCCCAGGGAUCCACUUGUGUGUCUUUCUGGGAUCAUUGCCUUUCGUGGCAGCCUGGGCCUCAGGGAAGGAAGGGCACAAGGAGCAGCCCUGGCUGGGAUGUCAGGGGCCUAGGAAAAUUCCUGCCUCUACCAAGAAAUUGCCCCCUCUUUUCAGAGGCUGCCUUGUCCUAGAUAUCUGAUGUCCCGCCCUUGCAGUUUCCAACUCCAGAUGUAGAACCUCGUCGUGACAUUUCCCAGAAGCCAUGACAUGUCCCUGCAGCUGGAGGCCUUUCAAGCGUGGCCCAGGAGGCCUCAGAGGCCUGAUGCAGCCUGCAAAGGAAGGUAGCCUCCUGUCCUUUGUCUCUAUUUUUGUCUUUGAUCACAACUUCUCUCCUGUUGUCCCUUUGGAAUGGCAGCAUCAUUCUGCAGCUUCUCGGUCAGCAUGGGUUACAGAGAAGAGCUGUUCUCACGGAAGGAUCCAAAGGGCUCAAAGGCGAAGGGUGCCAUCUGCUUCUCCGCUGAUUCAGAAGAUAAAGAGGAGAAGUGUCCUGUUUCAUCCAUAUUGCUGGUCCUGAUUUUUCAAUAGUGUCCCUUACCCUGAAGCUCUUCCAUUGGCCAUCAUGGGGUUAGCUAACAGCCCAGGAAACUGGUCUCUUUUCCUUUCCCCUUACCACCUGGAACUCAACUGGAAAGGGCAAUCAGAUGACUCUAUAUCAGGCCCCACCACCUGGUCUUUGAAGUUUCUGUCCUACCAGUGCCACAGCUCCCUCUUCCACUUCUGAGCUACCUCCAAAAAAGGCCAUCCUCAGCAGCCUAGUUAUGCUCAUCCUGGAAUGCUGUAUUCUGGAUGUCUACUCAAGGCCAAACCCCAAUAUUGCCUUUUUUCCCCUAUUCAAGGCCAAGGCUAGGCUCUCUUCAUUGUCUCCAUUUCUCUUUCUCUAGAGCUCCUAGAGGGCCAGACACUGUUUCUCAUAUAUUUCUGGAUCCUUGGAGCUUAGCUCAGAGCUUGGCAUACAUGCCCAGUGUGAACUUUUCUGAAUAAAAUAAUUUCAAAUGCUGUA